Molecule: long non-coding RNA, 739 nt
Organism: Manduca sexta (tobacco hornworm)
Lineage: Eukaryota; Metazoa; Arthropoda; Insecta; Lepidoptera; Sphingidae
Exons: 2
Source: RefSeq, a predicted model, not a curated record
GAUUUCAAUUUAGAAAUGGAAUUUGGAAUCCCAUUCCAGAAAGCUUAAAAUUAAGUCUGCAUCGAUCUCACACAUAUUAUAAAUUUUAAUAUAACUCAAAGAUAAAAUAAAUAAGAUAUAAACAAUUUUUUUUUGUUACAGAAAGUAAGUAUUGUUAUUUCUAAUUACAAUUUCAUGGAUUACUUACCAUUUAGGCCAAACUUUAUUCAGUAAAUUUUCAAAACAAAUGUUAAUGUUAAGUACAGAUGUUUUGUUGUCAAUUUAUAUAUUAUUUAUAUUUUUUUACAGCCUGGAGUAAGUAAAAAAGAAUGCAACUGAUGGAAUAAUAUUAUAUUCUUUUUCAUAUAUUUUACAAAAUAAUGCCGCGGUUUUUUAUUUUCCUGGCGUGGCUAUAUUAAAGAUUUUAACGCAAGAAUCAUCGCGUUAUCUCAUUUCUAUAUAUUAAAUUUAGAAAUAUAUUAAAAAUGUUUACCACUCCUGCCUACUGCAAACAAACCUACUACACCAAUAAUUUAUGUUUCAGUGCAUCUGCCUGACUAGAGGUCCUUUGCCGAAAUUCAAAUUGAUUGGAAACAUACACUUUCCUAAAAUCAAGGUGACGCCUGGACGGUACGUGACGGUGCCCACAGAAGCAACGUCUACUCUGUGCCCACCCUGCGACUGCAGCAGUUGCCCGCCACAUCCCAUGUACGAGCCAUAGAAGACAUUGGACUAUAAAAUAAAUAUUAACCUGCCUAUA